GGGCCCGCACAAGCGGUGGAGCAUGUGGCUUAAUUCGAGGCAACGCGAAGAACCUUACCUGGUCUUGACAUGCCCGUCAUAGUUUUCCGAAAGGAAUUCGUCAGUUAGGCUGGACGGUGCACAGGUGCUGCAUGGCUGUCGUCAGCUCGUGUCGUGAGAUGUUCGGUUAAGUCCGGCAACGAGCGCAACCCUCGUUCCUAGUUGCCAGCGGGUAAUGCCGGGGACUCUAGGAAGACAAACCUCGUGUAGAGGUGGGAAGGUGGGGACGACGUCAAGUCAGUAUGGCCCUUACGACCAGGGCUGCACACGUGCUACAAUGCCCAGCACAAUGGGAUGCAACACCGCGAGGUUGAGCAAAUCCACAAAACUGGGCCCAGUUCGGAUUGGAGUCUGCAACUCGACUCCAUGAAGUCGGAAUCGCUAGUAAUCG
Molecule: ribosomal RNA, 430 nt
Filed under: uncultured bacterium
Lineage: Bacteria
Description: bacterial SSU rRNA
Rfam family: Bacterial small subunit ribosomal RNA
Source: RNAcentral